GUUGAACUAAAAAGAAAUCAGAAGGGAGUCAGCUAAUCCUAUAUAAGCACAUUCCGGUACCUUGUUUUCCUCAAAGCCUUACAGAACUCCUUUGAUCAAGAUCAACAAACUUGAAAGAAUAAUCACUUAACAAUGGCCUCUUUCAAUUGCUUCAUCCUUAUUUUAUUCAUUGUUUUAUCAUUUUCAAGCCUCAAUGUGGCUCUAGCUGCU
Molecule: unclassified non-coding RNA, 210 nt
Filed under: Hevea brasiliensis (rubber tree)
Lineage: Eukaryota; Viridiplantae; Streptophyta; Magnoliopsida; Malpighiales; Euphorbiaceae
Source: RNAcentral